This is a long non-coding RNA of Chinchilla lanigera (long-tailed chinchilla), 1092 nucleotides long. RefSeq lists it as uncharacterized. The transcript has 5 exons. The record is from RefSeq and is a predicted model, not a curated record. NCBI's taxonomy places the organism in Eukaryota, Metazoa, Chordata, Mammalia, Rodentia, Chinchillidae.
AACACUCAAACACUAACACCACAUGUCCUUUAUUACCACAGUGGAGCUCUUUACAAAUUAUUACUCAGCCAGGCCAAGGGAAAUGGCAGAAUGCUGUGCGUUUUCCUGAUCAGAUCUCGUGGUAUAGGUCUGUACAGCAUUAUGUCUCGUGGGCCCCUAGUCUUCCUCAAGAAGUGAGCCAGGAUCAGAAGAAAGACCUGUCUCUGAAUAUUCUGUUCGUGGAUAGCAUCCUACCAACAGUAGCUAGAGAUUUCAUUCUUCUGGUAUGUGGGCAAGUAAGCCUUAGAAAAGACCCAACUGUAUUAAGCUAGCAGAGAGCACUAUUCUGUUGGAUUAUUUCUAAUGAAAAGCUUAUGCAAACAGUAGUGCAUAAAUGACUAUGAUACUACUACAGUAUAUUAUACUCACACAAAAGAAGACGGAGGAAAGGACUAUAGAAUGCAAUCACUUCUAAAUAUGACUGCCAAGUUACCACUUCAUGAAAUGAAAUAAUACAUGAACAGUAUACUACAUAGUUCCAUCUCAGCAUCUGUACUUCAUCCAAGGAUUUUAGAGGCUUCAAACUACAGCAUCAGAUUCUUCCCAAUUAGUGCAUCUAUAAACACUCUAGGUUUCCACUCAUACUACGUCCCCAACCACUCCUGGAGACCAGCUGGCAGAACAGGGGGCAGGGAAAUGGAGGCAAGUUUCCAAGGACAAAAGAUUUUCUAGACACAAGACCCAAACCAGGGCACCACUGCUGCUGAGUGGAUACGGAGCAGAACACAGACCAGAGCACGGACAAAGCAAGGAGGAGAACACGGAGCAGAGCACAGACCAGAACACGGACCAAAGCAAGGAGGAGAACACGGAGCAGAGCACGGAGCAGAGCACAGCCAGAGUGCCCUUUCCAUUGCUCCGUGGAUGAGCCAAGGCCACAGCUCCUUUAGCCAGAACAAAAUUAAGAAAUGCCAACAUCGUAUGCCGGUUCCACAUGAGGGGGAGAAGCGGGGAACUGGCUAACUGUGACUGUGAUGGGCAGGAAAAACAUCUCAGAGAAGCUUGCAUCUCAGAGUCAGAUGAGGAAGCGUGCAGAGGGUGUCGCACACUGGA